This 484-nucleotide ribosomal RNA is filed under the name uncultured bacterium. Its description in RNAcentral is "partial 16S ribosomal RNA". It matches the Rfam family "Bacterial small subunit ribosomal RNA", at positions 30 to 507 of the family's 1533-position model. The record is from RNAcentral.
AUUGAACGCUGGCGGCAGGCCUAACACAUGCAAGUCGAGCGGAUGAAGGGAGCUUGCUCCUGGAUUCAGCGGCGGACGGGUGAGUAAUGCCUAGGAAUCUGCCUGGUAGUGGGGGAUAACGUCCGGAAACGGGCGCUAAUACCGCAUACGUCCUGCGGGUGAAAGUGGGGGAUCUUCGGACCUCACGCUCUCAGAUGAGCCUAGGUCGGAUUAGCUAGUUGGUGGGGUAAAGGCCUACCAAGGCGACGAUCCGUAACUGGUCUGAGAGGAUGAUCAGUCACACUGGAACUGAGACACGGACCAGACUCCUACGGGAGGCAGCAGUGGGGAAUAUUGGACAAUGGGCGAAAGCCUGAUCCAGCCAUGCCGCGUGUGUGAAGAAGGUCUUCGGAUUGUAAAGCACGUUAAGUUGGGAGGAAGGGCAGUAAGUUAAUACCUUGCUGGUUUGACGUUACCAACAGAAUAAGCACCGGCUAACUUCGUG